RNAcentral lists this non-coding RNA (21 nucleotides) under Caenorhabditis elegans. Lineage: Eukaryota; Metazoa; Nematoda; Chromadorea; Rhabditida; Rhabditidae. The record is from RNAcentral.
UCUGAUGACGCAUUUAUAAUA